Molecule: ribosomal RNA, 253 nt
Filed under: uncultured bacterium
Lineage: Bacteria
Description: partial 16S ribosomal RNA
Rfam family: Bacterial small subunit ribosomal RNA
Source: RNAcentral
UACGUAGGGGGCAAGCGUUGUCCGGAUUUAUUGGGCGUAAAGAGCGUGUAGGCGGCCGCACAGGUCCGUUGUGAAAACUGGAGGCUUAACCUUCAGACGUCGAUGGAAACCGUGCGGCUAGAGUCCGGAAGAGGAGAAUGGAAUUCCUGGUGUAGCGGUGGAAUGCGCAGAUAUCGGGAAGAACACCGGUGGCGAAGGCGGCUCACUGGUCCGGUACUGACGCUGAGGUGCGAAAGCGUGGGGAGCAAACAGG